Long non-coding RNA from Nelumbo nucifera (sacred lotus), 1464 nucleotides. RefSeq lists it as uncharacterized. Lineage: Eukaryota; Viridiplantae; Streptophyta; Magnoliopsida; Proteales; Nelumbonaceae. The record is from RefSeq and is a predicted model, not a curated record.
CCCUUCUCUUCGUUUACUUGCUUGCGCCGGAUCGCCGGACGCAGAUGCAGAGGGAUGAUGGCGAGCGGUAGAUUGAAAAUAGAGAAGGAGACAAGAUCCUUAGGAUACUUGUUCAGAUCCUAGGUCUUGCUUUUGAAAGGCGUUGCGUUCUUAGGAACUUGUACCCCAAUGGACGUGUCAACAAAAGCAUAGAUAAGCAAAUUUACACUGUGCAAUGCAGGCCUCUGCUUCCUUUCUCUGGGUAACGGCUACAUAUAUGUACUUGUAGUGGUUACAGUUCUGCAUGUAUCAUUGUCCUCAAAAUCUCUCUCUAGAGUAGAGGUGUCAAUUGGACAGUAUUUCUUCCAAUCCGAUCCUGCCAGCACUGGUCCAUUUACAAAUGAAUUGGACCAAUUUAAUACAUACCGGAUGCAGUUUAAUCCAGUUGAAAUGCAAAUUAACUGGAUUGGACUCAAUCCGGUCCAAACUAAACGAUGCUUCAAAAAUUUUUUGAAACCUGAAAAUAUAAAGAAUUUGCAGAUAUAUUUGACAAAAAUAUAAAUAAUGACUUAGGCCCUAUUUGGCUUGCAAGAAUAGGGGUUUGGAAUCAGAAUCGGAAUGGGUUAUUCCGAUUUCAACUGUUUGGUUGGAUGGAAUCGAAAUCUCAUUGCCAUUCCCCCAUUUGAGGGAGGGAAUGGCAAUUCCUUUUUCCUCCCUUGGGAAUGAAAUCCCAUUCCUGCAGAUCUUAAUUUUCAUUCCCGUUCCUGUUUCAACCAAACAGACUAUAGGAAUGGACCAUUUGGAUUUUGAUUCGGAUUCUGGUUUUAACUAUAAACCAAAAAGACCCUUAUUUUUCUAUUGCCGUCUCUGAAUUCCAACCAAGGAAGGUAGAGGUAGGCCUAUGUGAUAGAAUAUCUAUCUGGGGUUCCCAUUUUCACACUAAGAGUCUUUUGUUUUGCGCUAUUAUUCAAAUCCCACCUGUCUACAAGUCAUCUACCCUGAAUUCAAAGUUUAACUCAAGUCCCACUAGACUUACCCAUAUGAAAUUCCUACUGUUUGCCUCCCGAGUGAUAGUUAAUUCUGUCAUUUCUGAUGCAGAGAUUGUGUCCUGAGAACUGAGGCAUACUUAAAGAACAAAAUCCAGAGGUUGCGUAUUGAGCCACUUGAUGCAUUGAUUCAGGGUUGUCCUGGUAUCUUCGUCCACGUAGGUUUUGUUGGCCAAUGAAGAGGUGGUAGACUAAUCUUGUUGAUGUUCUCUGUCGUGUUAAAUAAAAGCCCAACGGAUAUCAUCUAUAUACGAACCUAUGUUUGUGUGAAUCUAGAUCAAGGAUCAAUCCCUUGGAGCUGGGUGCAACGGAUUAUUGAGGGUGUGUAGAUGGAGAAGUGGCCAUGCCAUAAGCAUCGCCACUCGCCAGUGCUGAAGGUGGAAUGAAAUGUAUUUAGGGCGUCCGCGACCUUGGCCCACCCUCCAAAAAGGAGGAUGAC